This 2089-nucleotide unclassified non-coding RNA is filed under the name Leishmania donovani. RNAcentral describes it as "gene:LdHU3.29.2240(CDS-product:hypothetical_prote in_conserved)". The record is from RNAcentral. Lineage: Eukaryota; Euglenozoa; Kinetoplastea; Trypanosomatida; Trypanosomatidae.
CACACAACCCACGCACAGCGCGCACAGAGGGUGCCUUCACUCCGUUUGCUCUUCGUUCGUCUCUCUCGGGUUCUCCACUCCACGUUCUUCACCGCGUGCGCACCCGCCUCCACCUCCCACACGCACUUCAAUGUGCUCAUGCGUCAACAUGACCUAGCGAGGAAUGGAUGGCGAAUCUUGUUCGAUUCGCCAAGAUCAGCGCGGGCACCCCACGGAUGUCCUGGGUUGUCGCCGACGUGGCAGAGGCCUGCGUACGGCAGCACGGUUUGAUGUGCGGCGCCGCUCCACGGCAGCCACCGCAGCACUUCCUACACGGGCAGACGCGGCGGACGGCGGCCGUGGCCGGGCUGACAGGUGUGUGCCGCUGUCUGUCUACUGCAGCGCCGAGGUCGGGGCCCCUCUCGACUCCUGUAUCACCGAGCUCGUCCCCGUCGCCCAAGCAGGACCCGCCUGCCGCCCCCCGACAGUCCGUGCAAACCGCGAGCCUCACACUAACAGCGGAAUCGGUGUGGGAAACGGUCCCACACUGGUGCGAGCUGUGUUGUGAGCCCGUUAACAGCUGGCACAACCACAUGGGCAAGCGCGACCAUAUUUGUCUCGAGAUGAUCCUAAACUCCGUAGUCGGCAGCAAAGGACUCUGGGAAUCCGACAAAGUGUGGGACAGCAUUGAGCUGUUUCGAAGUCACUACACGAAGCGGCCACACGGGCAGCCACGAACGCCUUCGCCGAUUGUGCAACGCCUCUUGAAGGAGGGGCUCUACGUGCCAGGUCCCGAUCACCCGCUUGGCAUAUUCUACGACGCCUUCGACCGUGGUGACCCGUACGCGCGGCGGGAGGAGCUGCAUCUGCUGCUCUUGUACUUGAAGGAAUGUGGGAUGCUGUGCCUCACCCCCGACGUGUUCCCUCCAGCGAUCUUUCAAGGGCACUUGCUCUUACACAGCGAAGUGGUACCGGUGUUGACGCGCAUCUUCCCAGACGGGGAGGUGCGCGGAAUCUCGGCACUGUCGCAGAUGAUAACAUGCACCUAUGGGCUGGCAGCAGCGUAUGAAACGUGUGGGAUGGAGCGGCUGGUGCCGGUCUCCUUGCUGCAACACCGAGGGUUGAGCCCAGAGCUCAUUUCAGUUUUAUCGUCGGUAGAGGAGUUCGACGGCGUUGCGGCAAGCGAUGACGCGACGGGCGGCACCGGCGGCGAAGAGACUCUCGGCGAAGGCGCUGAAGGUGGGACUAGCGAUGCAGCCUUGUCGACCGGGCAAUCCAUGGCAAUGCGCUCCUUGAGCGCCGCCAUGCCCCGCGCCAUCCUUGGCUCCCUCCGCUGGGCCCUCGCUCCAGAGGAUACAAGCCCCCCGCCGAUCAUCUUUCAGGACCACAAGCACAACGCCUACCUGACCACCUUGGCAGCGCGCGCGGCACGCCUGCUCAUGUCCGAGCUGAUCUUUGAGCGCAUCUCCGAGUACGUAUAUCGUUUAGAGUACGUUCUGCGCACAGACUUCGGGCGCGAGUAUCUGAACCAUCGAUACGAAGCCCAUCGAGCGGCGGACAAGGCCAGCGGCCGCGCGGCCUCGCAGCGCUGGCUGCGCAAGCAGUGCAUUACCCCUACACUGUCGAACGAGGGAACUGUUGCCUAUACAAAUGGUGGGCUCGCCGCUCAUGGGCUUAACGGCACCGUGGCGGCUGAGUGUGCCGUUCGGAUGCACGACGAGGCUCGUAAGGCGCGCAUGCACAAUCGCCGCGGACUGCUGAAGGCGCCACCCAGCUCCCCUUUGGCCCGCAAUGUACGCUUUCGGUGAGACGGUCAAACGCCGCCGCUUCGGCGGCGGUGUGAUGCAUGCUCCAAAAACAGUGAAUCGCAUGCCGACAUGCACGUGGCGAACGGAGCGAACUUGCAGCGCCGCACUGUUGGCUUCGCCGUAGCUGGUGGUGCAAGUGGGGAUGCCGCGCGGCGUGCAUGGCCUAGUGCCUGUCGAGGGGUCGUGUAAGGGCAUUUGUCUUGUCCUUGUAGUGCCUUGAAAGUCGUGUGUUGAGCCCUUCGGAAAGGCGGCGGCGGACCGCAACAAUGCGCUGCGAGUUUUCGCAUGAAUGCCGAUAGUAG